RNAcentral lists this long non-coding RNA (1953 nucleotides) under Linum usitatissimum (flax). RNAcentral's name for it is "long non-coding RNA (LUSI_LNC007455)". Lineage: Eukaryota; Viridiplantae; Streptophyta; Magnoliopsida; Malpighiales; Linaceae. The record is from RNAcentral.
AUCAUGGAGAAAAGAUUUUAAAGGGUUUUUUUAUGUUUUAUUUGAUGAUUAAUUAAGGCUAGAUUAAUAUAUAAACUAGGUAAAAAUAUCGAGGUGGAAUUCAAAUUCUAGAUGUAAGGGUUAUUAAUCUAAGUGUCUAACCGUUGGGCCAAAUUGAGUUUACUAACUGAGUCCUCUAUUGACUUCUUUAUAUCCGGACCUCUCAUGUCCACAGGCUCGUGUAAUCGAGCUACGACUUAGGCCUGCGCCAAGCCCGAAUCCUUAUAUAGCGCUAAGCCCAUUCUUCGACUACAUCCGGGUCCGAUCCGAUCUGAUUUCUUAACUCGGUUAACCCUAAGGAUCCUAAUCCUUUCCACUCACUUAUCGGUCACCACCAUCUUCUCUCGAAAGCUCCUUGUCCUUCGUGACCUAGCCACAACUUCCAUCUCCUAUCGAGGUCUCGUUUCCUCUCGAUCCAUUCCUCUAUCUCAAUCGACAGGCGAACUCAGCUUGAUGAUGACAACCACCACCUCCUCUUCCCUUUUCCAGCGCGACGACUAUGACGACAGAAACGAUCUCGUCCCUCCAGUCGACGAGAUCGGCUCCACGAUGGCCGCCACGGUUUUUUUCCUUCUCCAUUGGUUCGUAUGUUCUCCGAUCCCGACUCCGCAAGGUGGCUCCUCCACCAGAUCCUAAUCUUUGAUCAAUCCUUCUCCACGUCGUCUUCUUGAUAUUCGCCGGGGGGGGGGGGGGGGGCGGGUGGGCUCCGUCGGGAGUUGCGGGCAGCACCGGACGGCAGUCGCCGCGACCGCGUUGGGCGAGCAUAGCCGUUACGCCCACGCCCCCCCCCCCCCCAUAACCUAAGGUAAAUUCGAUAUGCUCCUUCUCUAUUUUCUAGCGUCGAUUAUUGAUUUACCGGCUCAUAAGCCUACGUUUCUUGUCCUGUCUACCUUGGCUGGGACACCGUAUUCCGAAAUCGGCCUCCACCCUGAGGCAACAACUUGGUGAAAUCUAAAAGGCUAGCGAUGAAGGUAAAGUUUCCUACUGUGAUUUUAUUCACAUAAACCUAGAGUUUUAAAUGUCUUUUUCUAAAGGAAUUAUAAUCUCAUAAAGCCCAAACUAUGGUCUUUUCGUAAAAGAACGACACCACUUUUUUGAAAUAUAAAAUAUCGCAUACUUUUUUAUCAACAUAUGGCCUUUUUGUAAAAAUAAUGACACCACAUUUUUGAAAUAUAAAAUAUGGCAUAGUUUUGGACCAACCUAUGACCUUUUCGUAAAAAAAUGACACCACUUUUUUGAAAUAUAAAAUAUGGCAUACUUUUGGACGGAGAAUGUUCUUCGCAAGAUUUGACUGUUAAUUUAGAUGGAAUUUGUAACACCGUGAUGACGUCUUCAAGCUGAACAGUCCACAUCAGCAUCUGUAUAGUCCACGUCUACUGCGUGGGAAGUGUCCACGUCGAUUUAUGGGUUAGAAAGAAAGAUUCGAUCCAAUCCGAAUCUUAUCCAUUAUCAAUUCAACCACGAUUUCUCUUUACAGUUUUUUUUUCUUUUUUUUUGUUUGGGAUGAGCACUAACAGAUGAUCUUCUUUUCCUUUCUUGCGAGGUUAUCAGUGGAGUUUGGGAUCCGAGACUUGGUCAUUACAAGGGUGGUGGUAUUUCAAUGAGGCCGAAAGUUCGAGUUUGUAGAAUGAGGGUUUAAGUAAUGGAAUUUUGAGUGAGAUUUAGAUGAGGUUUCAGGGGAGGCCGAGAGAGUAGAAUGUAGUUGUGAGAGGACUGUGAUUUGUGGAUGGGUGUGAUUUGGGUUUGUAAUUAAUUAUAUAACUUUUUUGGUGUAUUUUUCAUUUUCUUUCUGAAUCCCUAAAUGACGCCUUACUAUUCAAAUUAGUAUUCAAAUUAGAAGAUGCUCUAAGUUAAGUGAAUUAUUAAAUUAUCCUUCAAUAAAUUUGGAAAAUUUAUAUCAAUUUUAAUCUUCGA